RNAcentral lists this ribosomal RNA (440 nucleotides) under uncultured bacterium. Its description in RNAcentral is "partial 16S ribosomal RNA". It matches the Rfam family "Bacterial small subunit ribosomal RNA", at positions 338 to 795 of the family's 1533-position model. The record is from RNAcentral.
CCUACGGGCGGCAGCAGUAGGGAAUAUUGCUCAAUGGGGGAAACCCUGAAGCAGCAACGCCGCGUGGAGGAUGAAGGUUUUCGGAUUGUAAACUCCUUUUGUUAGAGAAGAUAAUGACGGUAUCUAACGAAUAAGCACCGGCUAACUCCGUGCCAGCAGCCGCGGGAAUACGGAGGGUGCAAGCGUUACUCGGAAUCACUGGGGGUAAAGAGCGCGUAGGCGGGAUAGCAAGUCAGAUGUGAAAUCCUAUGGCUUAACCAUGGAACUGCAUUUGAAACUGUUAUUCUAGAGUAUGGGAGAGGUAGGUGGAAUUCUUGGUGUAGGGGUAAAAUCCGUAGAGAUCAAGAGGAAUACUCAUUGCGAAGGCGACCUGCUGGAACAUAACUGACGCUGAUGCGCGAAAGCGUGGGGAGCAAACAGGAUUAGAUACCCUUGUAGUC